AAACUAUUGUCACAUGUGGUAUUGUUUUAGGAGACACUUUGACAAGUGGACACUGGAAGACCAAGUUGUGUGUGAGGAGAGUAUUCAGCCCAGCUUCCUGUCUGGCCUUGCUACUGUUCACUGCAUAUUACAUAAAUCAGGAGGAGGCAGCCUGCACCUUGGAGUUCAUUUAAAGAGAGGAACAAAGAAGAAAAUUGCCAUCUAAAACGACAGGCCAAAUGGUACAGAAGAAACAGGUUGCAGUGAACCCACAUGUUGCCACUCUUCCCUGCAAAGUGGUGUGUUAUCAGUGGAAUUUCUGAAAUCCACUCUUUGCAUCCUGUGAUGGAACAGCAUCUGGAGCUGAAUUAUUCUCCAUUUUUGAUCAUAAGUUUUUUGGACUCACUUGGGGCCUUGUUGUUUGGACAUGUUUGUCUGGUAAUGAAGUGGUGAAAAUUAAUUCGUGUCUGUCUUUUUCAGAAUCAUUUUAUUAUGAUCAUUUUGGUCAACUUGUGGUUUUAAAUGUAAUUUGCGUAUUUCUUCUUUGUGUGAAGGGCCAUGACGGCUAAUUUGUUUCAAGUAA
This is a long non-coding RNA of Rhinichthys klamathensis goyatoka, 562 nucleotides long. RefSeq lists it as uncharacterized. Lineage: Eukaryota; Metazoa; Chordata; Actinopteri; Cypriniformes; Leuciscidae. The record is from RefSeq and is a predicted model, not a curated record. The transcript is spliced from 3 exons.